This 111-nucleotide small RNA is filed under the name Halpernia frigidisoli. RNAcentral describes it as "Chryseobacterium frigidisoli Flavo-1 RNA". The record is from RNAcentral. Lineage: Bacteria; Pseudomonadati; Bacteroidota; Flavobacteriia; Flavobacteriales; Weeksellaceae.
ACAAAACCUGCAGCCCGACUUGAGUGGAAAUCCUUUUUGCCUAAAAAAAACCUUUGUUCUUGUGAAAACUUUUCGAAGCAAAAAGAUUGGGAACGGAAGGCGGAAAUGUCU